GGGGAAUAUUGGGCAAUGGAGGCAACUCUGACCCAGCAACGCCGCGUGAGGGAAGAAGGUUUUCGGAUUGUAAACCUCUGUCCUAGGGGACGAAGAAAGUGACGGUACCCUAGGAGGAAGCCGCGGCUAACUACGUGCCAGCAGCCGCGGUAAUACGUAGGGGGCAAGCGUUGUCCGGAAUUACUGGGCGUAAAGGGUGCGUAGGCGGUUUGGUAAGUUAGAUGUGAAAUCCCCGGGCUUAACUCGGGAGUUGCAUUUAAAACUGCUGAACUAGAGUGCAGGAGAGGAAAGCGGAAUUCCUAGUGUAGCGGUGAAAUGCGUAGAUAUUAGGAGGAACACCAGUGGCGAAGGCGGCUUUCUGGACUGUAACUGACGCUGAGGCACGAAAGCGUGGGGAGCGAACA
RNAcentral lists this ribosomal RNA (404 nucleotides) under uncultured Eubacteriales bacterium. RNAcentral's name for it is "bacterial SSU rRNA". It matches the Rfam family "Bacterial small subunit ribosomal RNA", at positions 356 to 774 of the family's 1533-position model. The record is from RNAcentral. Lineage: Bacteria; Bacillati; Bacillota; Clostridia; Eubacteriales.